UAUACACAAUCAUUUAUUCUUAUCUUAGGUUGAAAGAGUGGAGACAGUGAAUGUGAAUGUGAUUUCUUUUGGACUGUGGUUCAGGUGUUAGCUAGAAAAUCUUGGCUCUUCUACUUGCUCAAGAUCAUUCUUAAAAGUCCUUAAAUGCAAAUUAGUUUGUUUUCAGAGGUCUCCAAAGCCAAAUAAGGGAGAUUGCAGACCAAGCACAGUGCAGUGUUAGUGCUGCUGUGGGUACCAUUACAGUUCUGGAAUUCAUGAGCACUUGUGACCCCUUCCAAAUGUUUCUACUUUACUGAAUACUUGCCCUGCAUUAUGAGGAGUAUGUGUUUCUAUGCUACACACCCCCGUACUUGGCACUGGUGAAGCUGCACCUCAAAUCCUGUUUUCAGUUUUGGGCUUGUCAUUGCAAGAAAAUCAUUGAGCUGCUGGAGUGUGUCCAGAGAAGGGCAAGAGAGCUGGUGAAGAGUCUGGAGCACAGGCCUUCUGUGGAGUGGGGAGGGAGCUGUGGUGCUGAACCCGGGCAAAAGGAGGCUCAGAAGGGACCUUAUUGCUCUCUGCAACUGCCUGAAAGGAGGCUGUAGUGAGGUAAGGGUCAGUCUUUUCUCCUAGGGAAAAAGUGACAGGACAAGAACAAAUGCCCUCAAGUUGCACCAGGGGAGGGUUGGAUUGGAUAUUAGGAAAAAUCUUUUUGUGGAAAGGGUUGUCAAGCAUUGGCCUCCCUGGCUGGCCAGGAAAGUGGUGGAGUCACCAUCCCCAGAGUUACUUAAAAGCUGUGUAGAUGGGGCACUUGGGGCACACUGUUUAAUGGAGGGCUUGGCAGUGCUCAAUUAAUGGUUGGACUCAACCAUCUUACAGGUCUUUUCCACCCAAAUAGAUUCUGUGGUUCUAUGCAUACUUUGAAUUGAUGAGAAGCACACAGAUGCCCUUAGGGGAAGAGAAUUGCCAUCAGUUCUCCCCGUGGAAGACAUGAAUCAUCCUCAUCUGCUUUUCCCCUCACUGGGAGAAAGAAGUACUGAAAUUCAGCAUGACCCAAGCAUAGGGCAGACUGGGCCUGUGUAACACCAGGGAUGUGAUGUACACAGUUAUUCAUAGCAGCACCUGGACAGAAUGGAACAGGGGUCCAGCUGGCCCUUCCUCUGUGGCAACUCCUGCUUAAAGCAGGAGAAUGUCCCAAGAGGAGCCAGGGCUGCCCUGCGUGACAGUUGACAAAAAAACCGCAGACAUGGAAGACUGAAUUCUGUUGUUCUGCAGCAACAUGGACAUCUGCAAAUGAAGGUGCCAAGAACACAUUCAGGAGGCUGAGACCACUUAGAAGAUUCAAAAUUAACUCAUAUUGUAGAAAUAUUUAGGAAAAUGAUAAUUUGGAAGUAAACUAAAUGUAUUUUAAACAAAUGCAUUUUAAACUAAUGCAUUUUACACAAAAUGCAGUGUAAAUCCUUAACUUGCUAGACGAGUCAUGAGUUAGUGUGCUUAAAGAUCCAAAAAAACCCAUCAUUACAGAAAAAAAAAUAGCUCUACUCUGCUUGUUCCAAGGGCUCAAAACUGUGAACAAAUCCGUUUGGUAUUUAUUUUAAAUGUUCAGUUAUUUAAGUUUUGACUUGGGGAAAACAUGGUUCUGUAACAGCCAAACUAAUGACAGUCCUUUAUCGGAAAGGUUCUCUAAAACUCUUUGGUGUGUGAGAACUAAUACCAUGGCAACAAGAGGUUUGCUUUUGGCAGACUCUGAAGCAGCAUCCCUCAGUGCUCCCCGGGGAAUGAAGUGGGAGGUGACAGUGAUCAGGACUUUGGGAUGCUUAAGCAGAGAAAGAAUAGGAUGACGUUUGUAACUGAAAGGCAGCAGGCCUUCUCACAGCUGCUGUAUCAGGCAAGCCUCACAAAUCAAAACCCUCCUUCAGAUGCCCACAUUAUAUUUCUCUUGGCUAAGACUUUAAAAACUUUUAAAAGUUGCUUGAAUUAACAGCUGUCUUUGGCUGGGUUUUUCACCUUAGUUGUUUGUGUAUCUUCCUGGCCUCCUCUCUGGCUUCAUUUUAUUGCUGUGCGUGCUUUAACUUUCUCCAAUUACUUUUACACUUGCAUUUUUUGAAGCAAACCUAUGACUCCACAACUCAUCAUGCCCUCAUCCUCUCUUUAGAGAAUAGGAAAGCAAUGAAUUAUUUUCCAGCAUUGCAUACUACUGCUUUCCACCCUGUUAAAUUCAAGCACACCUUUCUACAAGACCACAGCCAACCAGAGGUUUCUUCUCACUAUUAAAAAAGUAUGAAGCAAUUGACUAGGGAAUGUUUCUGUCCAGCUAUCUGUCACUGUGAUGUCCUCUCCUCCAGAAACUUUGAAGAAAGAGAGAAAACUUUGGUACCUGCCUUUAACAAUACUGUAAAUAUCAGCCUGGGAGAGGGCAGGGGUGGCUCAGCUGUUGGCUGUAGUAGGUAAAGAACCAGAAUUAAGAAAAACACCUCCUCCUCUUGGUAUGAGAGUGGAAAGAACAAUGCAAAAUAAAAUAAAACUCAUUAUGAAUAUCCAAUUUUAAACAUUUAAUAGUGCACUUAUUGAGUAUAUUCUGUACAGACAUCAAUAGCAAGUUAAACAUUUUCCUUUCUCUCGCGUAGAUCAUACUCAUGUAAAGCACAUUUACAAUAGAAAACAUACUUGAGGUACAAAAACCCAAAAAGAAUAUCUGAGGUAUAAAUACAGGUAUAUUUUAAAUAAUCUUUAUCAUGCUUAAUCUAUGUUUGACAGUACACUGUGGGCAAGUAUACAUGUUUACAAUAAAACGGUAUGUACAACAUACAAUUUUACAAAUUCAAAA
Long non-coding RNA from Melospiza melodia melodia, 2803 nucleotides. RefSeq lists it as uncharacterized. Lineage: Eukaryota; Metazoa; Chordata; Aves; Passeriformes; Passerellidae. The transcript has 2 exons. The record is from RefSeq and is a predicted model, not a curated record.